Molecule: ribosomal RNA, 494 nt
Filed under: uncultured bacterium
Lineage: Bacteria
Description: partial 16S ribosomal RNA
Rfam family: Bacterial small subunit ribosomal RNA
Source: RNAcentral
ACGAACGCUGGCGGCGUGCCUAAUACAUGCAAGUAGAACGCUGAAGGAGGAGCUUGCUUCUCUGGAUGAGUUGCGAACGGGUGAGUAACGCGUAGGUAACCUGCCUGGUAGCGGGGGAUAACUAUUGGAAACGAUAGCUAAUACCGCAUAAUAGUAGAUGUUGCAUGACAUUUGCUUAAAAUGUGCAAUUGCAUCACUACCAGAUGGACCUGCGUUGUAUUAGCUAGUUGGUGAGGUAACGGCUCACCAAGGCAACGAUACAUAGCCGACCUGAGAGGGUGAUCGGCCACACUGGGACUGAGACAAGGCCCAGACUCCUACGGGAGGCAGCAGUAGGGAAACUUCGGCAAUGGACGGAAGUCUGAACGAGCAACGCCGCGGGAGUGAAGAAGGGUGUCGGAUCGUAAAGCUCUGUUGUAAGAGAAGAACGAGUGUGAGAGUGGAAAGUUCACACUGUGACGGUACCUGACCAGAAAGGGACGGCUAACUACGUG